GACGAACGCUGGCGGGGGGAGGAACACAUGCAAGUCGAACGGAAAGGCCCUGCUUUUGUGGGGUGCUCGAGUGGCGAACGGGUGAGUAACACGUGAGUAACCUGCCCUUGACUUUGGGAUAACUUCAGGAAACUGGGGCUAAUACCGGAUAGGAGCUCCUGCUGCAUGGUGGGGGUUGGAAAGUUUCGGCGGUUGGGGAUGGACUCGCGGCUUAUCAGCUUGUUGGUGGGGUAGUGGCUUACCAAGGCUUUGACGGGUAGCCGGCCUGAGAGGGUGACCGGCCACAUUGGGACUGAGAUACGGCCCAGACUCCUACGGGAGGCAGCAGUGGGGAAUAUUGCACAAUGGGCGGAAGCCUGAUGCAGCAACGCCGCGUGCGGGAUGACGGCCUUCGGGUUGUAAACCGCUUUCGCCUGUGACGAAGCGUGAGUGACGGUAAUGGGUAAAGAAGCACCGGCUAACUACGUG
RNAcentral lists this ribosomal RNA (468 nucleotides) under uncultured bacterium. RNAcentral's name for it is "partial 16S ribosomal RNA". It matches the Rfam family "Bacterial small subunit ribosomal RNA", at positions 28 to 507 of the family's 1533-position model. The record is from RNAcentral.